Small nucleolar RNA from Grammomys surdaster, 129 nucleotides. RefSeq annotates it as small nucleolar RNA SNORA17. The transcript has a single exon. The record is from RefSeq and is a predicted model, not a curated record. Lineage: Eukaryota; Metazoa; Chordata; Mammalia; Rodentia; Muridae.
CCUGCCCCUAGAAGUGAUGCAAGCAUGGCUGUUGUGCCACAUGUACGUCAGUAGGUGGCAGAGAGGAGUGAUGCUAUGUCUAUGCUCAAUGUUCUGAUCUAUGGACAUCUGAAUAAUUAGCAUAAUUAG